GGGGGAGUGCUUUAUUCAUUAAUUCAGUUGCCUUUCGCGUUGUAUCAAGCCGUUAAAGGGAAGAGGUUGAUCAAUGGCCAGUUUCUCCUUAUGUUUGAUUUUUACGGAGAUAAGGUGAUAGCGUUUUUCUUGGCAAGUGGAGUUGGCGUGGGAUUUGGUGUGAGUAUUGAACUCAAACUAUUGAUAGACCAAUUACUGGAUGGCUUGGAUGAAAUUGAGGACAAAAGCAAAAGAUUUGUAGAC
Solanum verrucosum is the source of this 243-nucleotide long non-coding RNA. RefSeq lists it as uncharacterized. NCBI's taxonomy places the organism in Eukaryota, Viridiplantae, Streptophyta, Magnoliopsida, Solanales, Solanaceae. The record is from RefSeq and is a predicted model, not a curated record. The transcript has 2 exons.